RNAcentral lists this ribosomal RNA (606 nucleotides) under uncultured bacterium. RNAcentral describes it as "bacterial SSU rRNA". It matches the Rfam family "Bacterial small subunit ribosomal RNA", at positions 338 to 944 of the family's 1533-position model. The record is from RNAcentral.
CCUACGGGAGGCAGCAGUGAGGAAUAUUGGACAAUGGGCGCAAGCCUGAUCCAGCCAUGCCGCGUGCAGGAUGACGGUCCUAUGGAUUGUAAACUGCUUUUGUACAGGAAGAAACAGUUCUACGUGUAGAACCUUGACGGUACUGUAAGAAUAAGGAUCGGCUAACUCCGUGCCAGCAGCCGCGGUAAUACGGAGGAUCCAAGCGUUAUCCGGAAUCAUUGGGUUUAAAGGGUCCGUAGGCGGUUUAGUAAGUCAGUGGUGAAAGCCCAUCGCUCAACGGUGGAACGGCCAUUGAUACUGCUAAACUUGAAUUAUUAGGAAGUAACUAGAAUAUGUAGUGUAGCGGUGAAAUGCUUAGAGAUUACAUGGAAUACCAAUUGCGAAGGCAGGUUACUACUAAUAUAUUGACGCUGAUGGACGAAAGCGUGGGUAGCGAACAGGAUUAGAUACCCUGGUAGUCCACGCCGUAAACGAUGGAUACUAGCUGUUGGGAGCAAUCUCAGUGGCUAAGCGAAAGUGAUAAGUAUCCCACCUGGGGAGUACGUUCGCAAGAAUGAAACUUAAAUGAAUUGACGGCUGAGAGAGCGAGAGACACGAGGGAGGAGG